GUGAGGAAUAUUGGUCAAUGGGCGGGAGCCUGAACCAGCCAAGUCGCGUGAAGGAAGAAGGAUCUAUGGUUCGUAAACUUCUUUUGCAGGGGAAUAAAGUGCGGGACGUGUCCUGUUUUGUAUGUACCCUGAGAAUAAGGAUCGGCUAACUCCGUGCCAGCAGCCGCGGUAAUACGGAGGAUCCGAGCGUUAUCCGGAUUUAUUGGGUUUAAAGGGUGCGUAGGUGGUUUGAUAAGUCAGCGGUGAAAGUUUGCAGCUUAACUGUAAAAAUGCCGUUGAAACUGUCGGACUUGAGUGUAAAUGAGGUAGGCGGAAUGCGUGGUGUAGCGGUGAAAUGCAUAGAUAUCACGCAGAACUCCGAUUGCGAAGGCAGCUUACUAAGCUACAACUGACACUGAAGCACGAAAGCGUGGGGAUCAAACAGGAUUAGAUACCCUUGUAGUCC
This 445-nucleotide ribosomal RNA is filed under the name uncultured bacterium. RNAcentral describes it as "partial 16S ribosomal RNA". It matches the Rfam family "Bacterial small subunit ribosomal RNA", at positions 354 to 796 of the family's 1533-position model. The record is from RNAcentral.